CCUACGGGGGGCUGCAGUGGGGAAUAUUGCACAAUGGGGAAACCCCUGUGCCGCAACGCCCCGGGAGCGGUUAAGGCCUUCGGGUCGGAAAACCCUUUCCUUAGGGAAGAAUACUUACGGUACCUUAGGGGGGAGCCCCGGCCAACUACGUGGCAGCAGCCGCGGUAAUACGUAGGGGGCUAGCGUUAUCCGGAAUUACUGGGCGUAAAGGGUGCGUAGGCGGCCCUUCAAGUCAGAGGUGAAAGGCUACGGCUCAACCGUAGUAAGCCUUUGAAACUGUAGGGCUUGAGUGCAGGAGAGGAGAGUGGAAUUCCCAGUGUAGCGGUGAAAUGCGUAGAUAUUGGGAGGAACACCAGUUGCGAAGGCGGCUCUCUGGACUGUAACUGACGCUGAGGCACGAAAGCGUGGGGAGCGAACAGGAUUAGAUACCCUAGUAGUC
This 439-nucleotide ribosomal RNA is filed under the name uncultured bacterium. RNAcentral describes it as "bacterial SSU rRNA". It matches the Rfam family "Bacterial small subunit ribosomal RNA", at positions 338 to 795 of the family's 1533-position model. The record is from RNAcentral.